CCUACGGGAGGCAGCAGUGAGGAAUAUUGGUCAAUGGCCGUAAGGCUGAACCAGCCAAGUAGCGUGAGGGAAGACUGCCCUAUGGGUUGUAAACCUCUUUUAUGCGGGGACAAAGGGGUCCACGUGUGGAUGUUUGCAUGUACCGCAUGAAUAAGGACCGGCUAAUUCCGUGCCAGCAGCCGCGGUAAUACGGAAGGUCCGGGCGUUAUCCGGAUUUAUUGGGUUUAAAGGGAGCGUAGGCGGUUCUUUAAGCGAGCGGUGAAAUUCUGUGGCUCAACCACGAGACUGCGGCGGAGACUGGAGACGUUGAGUGCGCGGAAGGCAGGCGGAAUUCGUGGUGUAGCGGUGAAAUGCUUAGAUAUCACGAAGAACCCCGAUUGCGAAGGCAGCCUGCCGAAGCGUUACUGACGCUGAGGCUCGAAAGCGCGGGGAUCGAACAGGAUUAGAUACCCGGGUAGUC
This 460-nucleotide ribosomal RNA is filed under the name uncultured bacterium. Its description in RNAcentral is "partial 16S ribosomal RNA". It matches the Rfam family "Bacterial small subunit ribosomal RNA", at positions 338 to 795 of the family's 1533-position model. The record is from RNAcentral.